CCCUUAGAUGUCCUGGGCCGCACGCGCGCUACACUGACAUGUUCAACAAGCCCCCUAGUUCGACAGGAUUUGGGAAAUCUUUGAACGCAUGUCGUGAUAGGGAUAGAUCAUUGCAAUUAUUGAUCUUGAACGAGGAAUUCCUAGUAAACGCGAGUCAUCAGCUCGCAUUGAUUACGUCCCUGCCCUUUGUACACACCGCCCGUCGCACCUACCGAUUGAAUGUUUCGGUGAAGAUUCCGGAUAGGACUUUUUUGAUUUAUUUCAAUUUUGUCUUAAAAGCUAUCUAAACCUCAACAUUUAGAGGAAGGUGAAGUCGCAACA
RNAcentral lists this ribosomal RNA (321 nucleotides) under uncultured eukaryote. RNAcentral's name for it is "partial 18S ribosomal RNA". It matches the Rfam family "Eukaryotic small subunit ribosomal RNA", at positions 1470 to 1796 of the family's 1831-position model. The record is from RNAcentral.